GAAUAAUAGCACAAUCUGUAUUGACUGCUGCAUUUUUAGUAUGGCACACUCUGACACAUUAUGGCAUGGCAGGAGUAGGAGCUGAUGUGUCAUAUUUCAUUCUGUCACCAUUAACGUGGAGUGGCAUGUCAUGUUAUGUCCUGUCACUGAAGUCAUGUCAUUAAACACUGAAACAUAAGAAAACACACACAAUUAAAACAAUCCUGGGGCAAAAAAAAAUCCAUUAAAAAAAAAAUCAAACGCAAGAUUUUAUUACGUAAAUGUAAUUCAAUUUUGUUUACACAGGUAUUGCUGUUGAAGCUGGUGUGGUUUCCUGCAGAUCUUUGUCUCCACUUCAAUUAUUUCCAGCUCUCGCGGAUUCUGACAACACUGCUCAGACCCUUGCAGUGGGGAAGGAGCGCUGCGAGAUGUCGGAGAGGCAGAUAGCUGCCACGCUGCCAGGACUUCUUUAGCAUCCUGCCCAGUGAAGGAAGCCAAGGCAGCUAUUCCAAGUUCCUCUUUGGAAAAGCUGCUUCUUGCCCUCUAUCUGCAAGGAACCGCAGUGGGUCUCAGAUCUCAUCGUGGUCUGCCCAACAGAAGGGAAUGGACACAGCGGUGUCCCCAGGCAGGGCAGCAUGGAGGAGAACCAAGGGACCAGGCUGGACCAGAACCAAACGGUUACGAAACAGCCAUCAAUAAACGGAGUCCGGAAAUUAGUAGGUCUUGAAACUUGGAGAAAGUGAUGUCCUGGAACAGGUUCCAGCAGGAGCAGUGGAGGCAAGAAGCCCACGUGGUUUAAAAUUGAGCUUUAUGAAUAGGUUUUAUUAUGCGGCUGCCAGCAAUAGCAAGGGCUGAAUUGAUGGCUGGGAAGGUUCCUUUUAAGGCAUUUUGGUCUUUGCUCCAUGCUUUGCAUUCUCCUGGGAUUUUUUAAGGUGACCUUCAAAGGAUGGCUUUUAGAAAGCAAAUUCUAUCACGCUGUGAUUUCUUUGCAAUGUAUAAAGAAACCCUGAAAGAUUUUUAAAUGUUUGUGUUAGUUUAUGCUUGACGGUUGCUUUCGAACGAACGGGAAAGUUGAGUCUGGUUUUGCUGGAAGCCUUGCUGGUCUCCUAAUGCAUCUGUUGAGAGAGUGGCUUUCAUGUCUGCACUCCUCUAGUGAGUUCAUUGCUCAAAGGACCUUAGGUAGACAGAUUCUGGGAAAAGAAUAAAAAAUGCUACAUGAAACCA
Molecule: long non-coding RNA, 1203 nt
Filed under: Numida meleagris (helmeted guineafowl)
Lineage: Eukaryota; Metazoa; Chordata; Aves; Galliformes; Numididae
Description: lncRNA (ENSNMEG00000003612.1)
Source: RNAcentral